Neurospora tetraspora is the source of this 71-nucleotide non-coding RNA. The record is from the annotation of a RefSeq genome assembly. NCBI's taxonomy places the organism in Eukaryota, Fungi, Ascomycota, Sordariomycetes, Sordariales, Sordariaceae.
GCGUGAAGGCGCUACGGUAGCGCGCGGGGGUAAAGCCCUCGAGGAGCAGGUUCGACUCCUGCAUCAGCACA